RNAcentral lists this ribosomal RNA (554 nucleotides) under Equus caballus (horse). RNAcentral's name for it is "partial large subunit ribosomal RNA". It matches the Rfam family "Bacterial large subunit ribosomal RNA", at positions 1816 to 2597 of the family's 2925-position model. The record is from RNAcentral. Lineage: Eukaryota; Metazoa; Chordata; Mammalia; Perissodactyla; Equidae.
CACCUCUAGCAUUUCCAGUAUUAGAGGCACUGCCUGCCCAAUGACAUCUGUUUAAACGGCCGCGGUAUCCUAACCGUGCAAAGGUAGCAUAAUCACUUGUUCCCUAAAUAGGGACUUGUAUGAAUGGCCACACGAGGGUUUUACUGUCUCUUACUUCCAAUCAGUGAAAUUGACCUUCCCGUGAAGAGGCGGGAAUGACUAAAUAAGACGAGAAGACCCUAUGGAGCUUUAAUUAACUGAUUCACAAAAAACAACACACAAACCUAACCUUCAGGGACAACAAAACUUUUGAUUGAAUCAGCAAUUUCGGUUGGGGUGACCUCGGAGAACAAAACAACCUCCGAGUGAUUUAAAUCCAGACUAACCAGUCAAAAUAUAUAAUCACUUAUUGAUCCAAACCAUUGAUCAACGGAACAAGUUACCCUAGGGAUAACAGCGCAAUCCUAUUCCAGAGUCCAUAUCGACAAUUAGGAUUUACGACCUCGAUGUUGGAUCAAGACAUCCUAAUGGUGCAACCGCUAUUAAGGGUCCGUUUGUUCAACGAUUAAAGUCUU